GUUAAUCGUUAUGGCACACGCUUAUAAUUUCUGCUACCAGGGAGACUGAGACAGGGAGAUCUCUUGAGCUCUGGAGCUAAAUCUGAUGAAGUCUGCACUAAAUCCAACACCAAUAUGAUGAUCCUCUAGGAGGCUUGAUCCACUAGGCUGCCUAAGGAGGGGUAAACUGGCCCAGGUUGGAAGUGGAGCAAAUCAAAGCCACUAUGCUGAUCAGUAGUGGGAUUGGUUCAUGAGUGACUGCUUUACCUCCAUCCUGGUUGAAAUGGGAAGACUCAGGCUCA
This 281-nucleotide non-coding RNA is filed under the name Phascolarctos cinereus (koala). The record is from RNAcentral. Lineage: Eukaryota; Metazoa; Chordata; Mammalia; Diprotodontia; Phascolarctidae.